This 378-nucleotide ribosomal RNA is filed under the name uncultured bacterium. RNAcentral describes it as "bacterial SSU rRNA". It matches the Rfam family "Bacterial small subunit ribosomal RNA", at positions 8 to 382 of the family's 1533-position model. The record is from RNAcentral.
AGAGUUUGAUCCUGGCUCAGGACGAACGCUGGCGGCGUGCUUAACACAUGCAAGUCUACGAGAACGAGGUAGCAAUAUCUUUAGUAAAGUGGCGCACGGGUGAGUAACACGUAAGUAAUCUACCUUUGGGUCUGGAAUAACUUCGAGAAAUCGAGGCUAAUACCGGAUAAUGCAGCGGCACCGCAUGGUGAUGUUGUUAAAGUUUGCGUAAUGCCUAAAGAUGAGCUUGCGUCUGAUUAGCUAGUUGGCAGAGUGACGGCCUACCAAGGCAACGAUCAGUAGCUGGUCUGAGAGGAUGAUCAGCCACACUGGAACUGAGACACGGUCCAGACUCCUACGGGAGGCAGCAGUGAGGAAUAUUGGGCAAUGCCCGCAAGG